RNAcentral lists this ribosomal RNA (497 nucleotides) under uncultured bacterium. RNAcentral's name for it is "partial 16S ribosomal RNA". It matches the Rfam family "Bacterial small subunit ribosomal RNA", at positions 28 to 507 of the family's 1533-position model. The record is from RNAcentral.
GAUGAACGCUGGCGGCGUGCCUAAUACAUGCAAGUCGAGCGAACGGACGAGAAGCUUGCUUCUCUGAUGUUAGCGGCGGACGGGUGAGUAACACGUGGAUAACCUACCUAUAAGACUGGGAUAACUUCGGGAAACCGGAGCUAAUACCGGAUGAUAUUUUGAACCGCAUGGUUCAAAAGUGAAAGACGGUCUUUCUGUCACUUAUAGAUGGAUCCGCGCUGCAUUAGCUAGUUGGUAAGGUAACGGCUUACCAAGGCAACGAUGCAUAGCCGACCUGAGAGGGUGAUCGGCCACACUGGAACUGAGACACGGUCCAGACUCCUACGGGAGGCAGCAGUAGGGAAUCUUCCGCAAUGGGCGAAAGCCUGACGGAGCAACGCCGCGUGAGUGAUGAAGGUCUUCGGAUCGUAAAACUCUGUUAUUAGGGAAGAACAUAUGUGUAAGUACCUGUGCACAUCUUGACGGUACCCAAUCAGAAAGCCACGGCUAACUACGUG